GCUUGCUUCCACAGAACAUACACUAACACUGCAAAAAUACGCAGAAGAUGAACAGGGCCCCUGCGCAAGGAUGACUUAAAAAUUUCUGAAGGAGUCCAUAUAAAA
Small nuclear RNA from Grammomys surdaster, 105 nucleotides. Lineage: Eukaryota; Metazoa; Chordata; Mammalia; Rodentia; Muridae. The record is from RefSeq and is a predicted model, not a curated record.